Molecule: long non-coding RNA, 485 nt
Filed under: Mytilus galloprovincialis (Mediterranean mussel)
Lineage: Eukaryota; Metazoa; Mollusca; Bivalvia; Mytilida; Mytilidae
Source: RNAcentral
UGUCUUUUUGUGUCGGGAUGUAUAAGUACCGGGCCACUUCCACUUGUAUUUUUGUCCAUCUGAUGAGUUAAGCCUUUUUCAACUGAUUUUAUAGUUCGUUCUUAUGUUGUUCUAUUAUACCACUGUCUCAGGUUAGGGGGAGGGUUGAGAUCACGCUAACAUGUUUAACCCCGCCACAUUAUUUAUGCAUGUGCCUGUCCCAAGUCAGGAGCCUGUAAUUCAGUGGUUGUCGUUUGUUUAUGUGUUACAUAUUUGUUUUUCGUUCAUUUUUUUUUUUACAUAAAUAAGGCCGUUAGUUUUCUCGUUUGAAUUGUUUUACAUUGUCUUAUCGGGGCCUUUUAUAGCUGACUAUGCGGUAUGGGCUUUGCUCAUUGUUGAAGGCCGUACGGUGACCUACAGUUGUUAAUGUCUGUGUCAUUUUGGUCUUUUGUGGAUAGUUGUCUCAUUGGCAAUCAUAUCACAUCUUCUUUUUUAUAUUUGCACCA